Molecule: long non-coding RNA, 352 nt
Filed under: Nicotiana benthamiana
Lineage: Eukaryota; Viridiplantae; Streptophyta; Magnoliopsida; Solanales; Solanaceae
Description: long non-coding RNA (NBEN_LNC026811)
Source: RNAcentral
GGUAAGCAAAAGUACACAUUUGAGAGCGUACGAGACCCUCUUGAACUGGUGUACCAAGGUAUUGACCUUCACAUUCCAAAGGCAUUUAUCAGUAGAGAUGAUAGCAUUAGUGUUGCAAAAGUAGUUCAAAAGGCUAGAGAAGAAUCACAAACUGCAGUUUUGGAUACUUCUACUAGUGAUAAACCAGGCAGUAUGAGUGGCAGCAUGGACAGACAUAAAGAAUCACAAACUGCAGCUUUGGAUACUUCUACUAAUGAUAAACCUGGCAGUAUGAGUGGCAGCAUGGACAGCCAUCAAGAUGACGGUUUUCUUUUAUCAUCCGAGUACUUCACGAUCAGAAAGCAAUCCCCAA